GCUAACCCAAUCUUUACCCGGUCACCACAUAGGGUGGGUUGGGGGUUGGCUUCGUCUUCUCUCUUCGCCUCUUUCUCUCUCUACCUCCUCUCUCUUGAAUGAAGAGAGAAAGUAAAACAGAAGAGAAAUUUGUUUGGUGGUUUACCAGUGAAGUGGAUGUGAUUAAGCAGCAGAUUUUGAUUCUAUCACUGUGCGGUCUCUAAUUCGCUUGGUGCAGGUCGGGAACCGGUUUCUGCGCGAAAUGGUGAAGUGGUAGCCGGCGGCGAAUUGGAUCCCGCCUUGCAUCAACUGAAUCGGAGGCCGCAGUGAGGGUUUUUGUCGAUGUCUGGUUACACCCGCUCAGAUCUCAUCUCCCAGAUUCUACUAUCAAGUUUAAAGUGAUGCAUUUGAUUGUGGUGCUUGUGCUUAUCCUGAUUCAGGUUACUUCAGAUUGAUUGAUACUUUCUUUUGGGGAAUGGAAGGUUUAAAUUUAUGAAGUGGUGAACUUAUAGCAUAUGAUGAAGGCAUGAAAGGCUUGUUAGGGACCCUAAUUUUCAGUGGUAUCAGCUUUUUGAUUAUAAAUACUUAGUUUAAAUUUGCAUUUUAGCUAUUCAAUUGUUGGAGGGGGACUAAUCCCUCUCUUCUAGCCAAUACCAGGGAAAGACUUCCUCACCAAUUCAAUUCAUAAGCUAAACAGAAGUUACAGAAAUACGGAAGUUGUUUUCGUUGAGAUUGAUUUGAUUGUUGGCAAGAGGACUUUCAUGUGUAAAAAUUUAAAAAUGCUUUGAUUUCUAUGGGAAGUGGCAAUAUUUUUUAAAUAAUGUGAAUUCAAGUUGCAUUUAACUGUAUUGGCAUAACAAAUUCCAUGCAUAUAGUGCAUUUUUAUGUCACCAGAUUCUAACAGUUAUCUAAGGAAGAUCUGUUGUUGGGACUCUAAUAUGUUAUCAAAUGAAGAUUUAGAGAAAUCCAGAUAAUUCUUGUUAUUUGUGAUGACACAACAACCUCAGUGAUGUACAUAAUUUAUGACAUGGGAGAUUGAGAACAUAAUUGAAAGUCUAGAGAUUCAUUUAGUCUAUGAUUCUUAUCAGUUAUGGUGCAUUGAUUUUUACUUUUUUGUUUGUUUCUUCAUCGUUAUCAUGAACAAACUGCAAAGACUUAGCAAAAAUAUGAAUUUGAAGUUAACCUAAAUGUUAGUCUGAUUUACAUAGGUUCUCAGAUUAAUUAAUUCUUGCUAUAUAUUAUGAAAUGCAAAUGGCAUAAUUUAUACUCGGUUUGUAAAUGCUAAUAAAAAAGCAUUUGAAAUUAUUGAAUGAAAGAUCAGAAUUUAAAUUGAAUCCUUCUAUCAACAAUAGAAGUCAAGGAUAGAGAAAAUAGAACAUGUUAUUUAAAUCUUGGCUUUUCUGGAAAAUGCCAGUAUUCUUGUUUGACUGGGUAUUUGUCCAGGGAGAAUAUAGAGAGAACUAAGCAGAGCAUGUUGCAGAGAGGUGGGUACGAAUAUGCUUUGAACCUUUUCCUUCAAAAAGAAGGGCAUAAAAAACUGAGUCUCUUGUCUCUUAGAGACAAGAAAAAUUGUUUGUAUGAAAAAUAAUAGUAAAAAUUAAAAGAUUAUUUUAUAUAUUAUUUUUUAAUUAUUCAUUAUCACUGUUGUUAUUAUUAUAAUAAUAAAAGAAUGUCUUGAUUAUUUGUGGGUCUCAAUCAAUUAUGGGUAUAAAGGUAUAUAUUAGUUUAUGAAUAUAAUCUACUUAAAGCAUAAGCUAUCCAGAACAUUUCUUUGUCUAUAUAUUUAAGGGAUUUUUUCCUCUUUCUUUAAGAUAUUUAUUUAUUCAUCACUCAAAAACUACUCAUUUCCUCUGUCCCUGCAAUUCUGUCCCUCCUUCUCCACCGUGAUGUUUACUGCAGUUAGAUUAGAUCAGAUUACCACAGUAGUGAUUAUGACUGUUGCAUUGCCAUUAUGUAAUACUCAUUUUUUUGUUCUGUGGCUUUAAAUGGUGUGACGCAAUACCAUGACCAUGAUAAUCAAAAACUAUUGACGUGUGUGUUAUUUACUGCUUAGAUACACAACUUUUAGGUUUUCUUCCUUAAAAUUAGCUAUUGAUAUUUGUUGCAUAUAUAGUGAAUUGUAUGAAAACAUACAAAUGUAGUAAGGAGAAUAUAAAGCUAUUGAUUCAAUUCAAAAGGAAGAAAAAGAAACAUACUUUUGAAUUAAGUGUUUUUAUGAAAAACAUUAAAGUAAAUAUUUAAGACUAAUUAAAUAAUAGUUCAAAUUUACAAAUUUAGAAAAAUAAAAUAUACUAUUUAACAUAUAUUUUCAAAUUAAAUAAUUAAACGGAAGAUGACAAGAAAAACAAGAAGUUUAAGAGCAGUUGGACAGAAAGUCAGGGGUCUACAAAUAUAGAAGAAAUAAAAUAUAUUUGUAUUUACUCAUAAAUAAAAUAUUUUAGUAUUCACUCAUCAUAUUAGAGAGAUACAUCACACUUCCACUUCUAAAACAAGCAUGUAUAUUUUUAGUAUCAUUAUUUAUUUGAUUUAAUUUAAUUUUACUAUUAAAACAGCAUUCAAGUUUCUAAUAUUAUUACUAUUUUUGCUAAAUGAAUAUUGAAAUUGUUAACAAAAGUAGUUGUGGUUUUAACUUAAUGUAUGCAUAUAAAACUAACUUUAUCUUUCAGACUUUUAAAAGGUUAACAGCUGUAUUUUUUUGAAAGGUUAAUAGUUGUAUUUAUUAAAAAAUAAGAAACUUGAUUGAAGUUUAAAAUAUUUAUGUUAUUGUAUUUAUGAAAUUGAGAAUUUAAUUGACUUUUUUUAUUAAUAAAUGGUAAAUUAAAUAAAAUUAAUAGAUGAAGUCAGCCAAUUGUAUUUAUUUUCCACGUUGAUGAUAGCCAUAACAGCUCGGGUACAAAAAGUGCAGAUGAGUUUUUGUACUUGUUCCUGUAAAGAUAGUUUCCUCCAUUGCCCAGAUACAAAAUCCUCCUGUCAUAAAAGCGACUAAUCACAGCUAGCUUUCAAUUUAGAUGCCUAGUGUUCUACCUUAUCGACUAAAGAAGGAUAAUUUCUAAUAACCUUUCAAGAUAAGUUUUUAAACAUAUAUUUUUAAAUUAUCGGUGCAUGUAUUACGUUCAAUAAUCAAUUGACACGUUGUGUUUUUUAUUUUUA
Molecule: long non-coding RNA, 3129 nt
Organism: Vigna unguiculata (cowpea)
Lineage: Eukaryota; Viridiplantae; Streptophyta; Magnoliopsida; Fabales; Fabaceae
Source: RefSeq, a predicted model, not a curated record